CCUUCAGUGAGGCCACUUGGCCCGUUUUUCCAAUGUUAGCCUAAUAAAUAUAAAUGGCACCAGAAGGUGAGGGGGCAGGGGCCACGUGAUCCCGGCACGAAAGCCACUUG
Molecule: non-coding RNA, 110 nt
Organism: Procavia capensis (Cape rock hyrax)
Lineage: Eukaryota; Metazoa; Chordata; Mammalia; Hyracoidea; Procaviidae
Source: Rfam